Molecule: long non-coding RNA, 136 nt
Organism: Sapajus apella (tufted capuchin)
Lineage: Eukaryota; Metazoa; Chordata; Mammalia; Primates; Cebidae
Exons: 4
Source: RefSeq, a predicted model, not a curated record
AUAUUCCAUGGUGAAAAGAGGCAGAGCGCUCUCUGGGUUCUCUUCUAUAAGGUCACUAAUUUCAUUCAUGAAGGCUCUACCCUCAGGACCUAAUCACUUCUCAAAGUCCCCACAGUUUAAUGCCAUCACAUUUAAG